UACGUAGGGUGCGAGCGUUAAUCGGAAUUACUGGGCGUAAAGCGUGCGCAGGCGGUUCGCCAAGUCAGGUGUGAAAUCCCCGGGCUUAACCUGGGAAUUGCGCUUGAAACUAGCGGGCUUGAGUGUGGCAGAGGGGGGUGGAAUUCCACGUGUAGCAGUGAAAUGCGUAGAUAUCAGGAGGAAUACCGAUGGCGAAGGCAGGUCUCUGGGCUGACACUGACGCUCAUGCACGAAAGCGUGGGGAGCAAACAGG
Molecule: ribosomal RNA, 253 nt
Filed under: uncultured bacterium
Lineage: Bacteria
Description: partial 16S ribosomal RNA
Rfam family: Bacterial small subunit ribosomal RNA
Source: RNAcentral